RNAcentral lists this small nucleolar RNA (157 nucleotides) under Ascoidea rubescens DSM 1968. Its description in RNAcentral is "Small nucleolar RNA snR80". It matches the Rfam family "Small nucleolar RNA snR80". Lineage: Eukaryota; Fungi; Ascomycota; Saccharomycetes; Ascoideales; Ascoideaceae. The record is from Rfam by way of RNAcentral.
AAUAGUUUGACAACACUCUGGAACCUUACCAAGAAUUAUAUUUUGAUAUUAUUCUUGAGCUAUGUUAGGUCCCUAUUUUGGCUCAAACAAGAUAAAACCACCACUUACUCACCUUAAUAUUUGCUUGAUAAAUAUUUCGGUCCAUUUAUACUUUCAC